Molecule: long non-coding RNA, 540 nt
Filed under: Brachypodium distachyon (stiff brome)
Lineage: Eukaryota; Viridiplantae; Streptophyta; Magnoliopsida; Poales; Poaceae
Description: long non-coding RNA (BDIS_LNC003054)
Source: RNAcentral
CGGGGACGUGGAUCCAGUCAACGGCGACCUCUAUUGCGUCUCCGGAGGCCUCAAUUUCAGGUGUGAAGAGCUAGGUUCAGGCCGUGGUGACGUCGAUUCCGAUCGAGUCCCUUUUCCUCCUCUCUUGGACAAACGCGAGGACAGCAAUCCCAUGGGUAGUUCCGUUUGGUUUGAGCAGCUUGUCGAGGCGGAUAGAUGGCCGACCUAUGAGUUCUCCCUCCAACCAUCUUAUUGUACCGACGAGUAUUGGCGGUUGUACUAUUUUCUCAUCUCCUAUUCUGGCUGCUAAUUACUUAUUCCUAACCCAUCUGACCUCUCCAUCCUGGUUGUUGUUUGAGUACAGGUGCGUCUCAAUCACCGAUUGUAUGAACUAAAUUUGCAUUGUAUGAUUGAGAUUUGUUCCAUUGUGCUUGGUUCUGCAGGUUAAACAGCUCACGGUAGUAUUUUUUAUGAUUGUGCAUGUGUUCCUCUUCUAAAUAUGGGCAACUAAUGCUACUGCUUUGCAGCCUUCCAUGUGCUUGAUGGAAUGCUUGGCUGCAC